CCUCUAAUGCAGCCGAAGCUAGUCGCAAGCCUGGAAAAAUGCAGAGCGGAGG
Molecule: non-coding RNA, 52 nt
Filed under: Blautia hydrogenotrophica DSM 10507
Lineage: Bacteria; Bacillati; Bacillota; Clostridia; Lachnospirales; Lachnospiraceae
Source: RNAcentral